Molecule: transfer RNA, 90 nt
Filed under: Acidobacteria bacterium ADurb.Bin051
Lineage: Bacteria; Pseudomonadati; Acidobacteriota
Also listed under: 2 other names
Description: tRNA-Ser
Rfam family: tRNA
About the family: Transfer RNA (tRNA) molecules are approximately 80 nucleotides in length. Their secondary structure includes four short double-helical elements and three loops (D, anti-codon, and T loops). Further hydrogen bonds mediate the characteristic L-shaped molecular structure. tRNAs have two regions of fundamental functional importance: the anti-codon, which is responsible for specific mRNA codon recognition, and the 3' end, to which the tRNAs corresponding amino acid is attached (by aminoacyl-tRNA synthetases). tRNAs cope with the degeneracy of the genetic code in two manners: having more than one tRNA (with a specific anti-codon) for a particular amino acid; and 'wobble' base-pairing, i.e. permitting non-standard base-pairing at the 3rd anti-codon position.
Source: RNAcentral
GGAGAGGUGACCGAGUGGUCGAAGGUGCACGCCUGGAGAGCGUGUGUAGGGGCAACUCUACCGUGGGUUCGAAUCCCACCCUCUCCGCCA